UCUCUUCUUCUCCUUCUUCUUCUCUUCUUUUAUUUUUCUUCUUCUUCUUCAUUCUUCUACUCUCUCUCUCUCUCUCUCUCUCCCUCCUUAUUAUGACGUCUCACCUUCGUGACUGUAUCUCACGCCUCCUCCUCACGCAGCUAAGGCUCCUCCUCUCACUCUGCUCUCUCGGCCUCGAUCCUCACUCAGCUCGAACUCAUCUCUCACCCGCUCGAACUCAGCUCUCUUCCUCUCUCUCUUCUCUUUUUUUUUUCUUUUUUUUUCUGUUAUUUUAUUAUAUAUAUAUAUAUAUUUUUUUUUUGCCACGUGGUUUGUUCCCCU
Molecule: long non-coding RNA, 321 nt
Filed under: Carica papaya (papaya)
Lineage: Eukaryota; Viridiplantae; Streptophyta; Magnoliopsida; Brassicales; Caricaceae
Description: long non-coding RNA (CPAP_LNC012831)
Source: RNAcentral